RNAcentral lists this ribosomal RNA (497 nucleotides) under uncultured bacterium. RNAcentral describes it as "partial 16S ribosomal RNA". It matches the Rfam family "Bacterial small subunit ribosomal RNA", at positions 28 to 507 of the family's 1533-position model. The record is from RNAcentral.
GAUGAACGCUGGCGGCGUGCCUAAUACAUGCAAGUCGAGCGAACAGACGAGGAGCUUGCUCCUCUGACGUUAGCGGCUGACGGGUGAGUAACACGUGGAUAACCUACCUAUAAGACUGGGAUAACUUCGGGAAACCGGAGCUAAUACCGGAUAAUAUAUUGAACCGCAUGGUUCAAUAGUGAAAGACGGUUUUGCUGUCACUUAUAGAUGGAUCCGCGCCGCAUUAGCUAGUUGGUAAGGUAACGGCUUACCAAGGCAACGAUGCGUAGCCGACCUGAGAGGGUGAUCGGCCACACUGGAACUGAGACACGGUCCAGACGCCUACGGGAGGCAGCAGUAGGGAAUGUUCCGCAAUGGGCGAAAGCAUGACGGAGCAACGCCGCGUGAGUGAUGAAGGUCUUCGGAUCGUAAAACUCUGUUAUUAGGGAAGAACAAAUGUGUAAGUAACUAUGCACGUCUUGACGGUAACUAAUCAGAAAGCCACGGCUAACUACGUG